This 1346-nucleotide ribosomal RNA is filed under the name uncultured bacterium. RNAcentral's name for it is "partial 16S ribosomal RNA". It matches the Rfam family "Bacterial small subunit ribosomal RNA", at positions 28 to 1381 of the family's 1533-position model. The record is from RNAcentral.
GACGAACGCUGUUGGCGUGCUUAACACAUGCAAGUCGAACGGAAAGGCCCUGCUUUUGUGGGGUGCUCGAGUGGCGAACGGGUGAUUAACACGUGAGUAACCUGCCCUUGACUUUGGGAUAACUUCAGGAAACUGGGGCUAAUACCGGAUAGGAGCUCCUGCUGCAUGGUGGGGGUUGGAAAGUUUCGGCGGUUGGGGAUGGACUCGCGGCUUAUCAGCUUGUUGGUGGGGUAGUGGCUUACCAAGGCUUUGACGGGUAGCCGGCCUGAGAGGGUGACCGGCCACAUUGGGACUGAGAUACGGCCCAGACUCCUACGGGAGGCAGCAGUGGGGAAUAUUGCACAAUGGGCGGAAGCCUGAUGCAGCAACGCCGCGUGCGGGAUGACGGCCUUCGGGUUGUAAACCGCUUUCGCCUGUGACGAAGCGUGAGUGACGGUAAUGGGUAAAGAAGCACCGGCUAACUACGUGCCAGCAGCCGCGGUGAUACGUAGGGUGCGAGCGUUGUCUGGAUUUAUUGGGCGUAAAGGGCUCGUAGGUGGUUGAUCGCGUCGGAAGUGUAAUCUUGGGGCUUAACCCUGAGCGUGCUUUCGAUACGGGUUGACUUGAGGAAGGUAGGGGAGAAUGGAAUUCCUGGUGGAGCGGUGGAAUGCGCAGAUAUCAGGAGGAACACCAGUGGCGAAGGCGGUUCUCUGGGCCUUUCCUGACGCUGAGGAGCGAAAGCGUGGGGAGCGAACAGGCUUAGAUACCCUGGUAGUCCACGCUGUAAACGGUGGGUACUAGGUGUGGGGUCCAUUCCACGGGUUCCGUGCCGUAGCUAACGCUUUAAGUACCCCGCCUGGGGAGUACGGCCGCAAGGCUAAAACUCAAAGGAAUUGACGGGGCCCCGCACAAGCGGCGGAGCAUGCGGAUUAAUUCGAUGCAACGCGUAGAACCUUACCUGGGUUUGACAUGGAUCGGGAGUGCUCAGAGAUGGGUGUGCCUCUUUUGGGGUCGGUUCACAGGUGGUGCAUGGCUGUCGUCAGCUCGUGUCGUGAGAUGUUGGGUUAAGUCCCGCAACGAGCGCAACCCUUGUUCACUGUUGCCAGCACGUUAUGGUGGGGACUCAGUGGAGACCGCCGGGGUCAACUCGGAGGAAGGUGGGGAUGACGUCAAGUCAUCAUGCCCCUUAUGUCCAGGGCUUCACGCAUGCUACAAUGGCUGGUACAGAGAGUGGCGAGCCUGUGAGGGUGAGCGAAUCUCGGAAAGCCGGUCUCAGUUCGGAUUGGGGUCUGCAACUCGACCUCAUGAAGUCGGAGUCGCUAGUAAUCGCAGAUCAGCAACGCUGCGGUGAAUACGUUCCCGGGGCU